This 115-nucleotide ribosomal RNA is filed under the name Aliikangiella coralliicola. Lineage: Bacteria; Pseudomonadati; Pseudomonadota; Gammaproteobacteria; Oceanospirillales; Pleioneaceae. The record is from RNAcentral.
CUGGUGACAUUAGCAAACGGGAACCACCUGAAUCCAUCUCGAACUCAGAAGUGAAAACGUUUAGCGCCGAUGAUAGUGUGGGGCUUCCCCAUGUGAAAGUAGGUCAACGCCAGGC